This 380-nucleotide ribosomal RNA is filed under the name Gymnocanthus galeatus (armorhead sculpin). RNAcentral's name for it is "partial 16S ribosomal RNA". It matches the Rfam family "Bacterial large subunit ribosomal RNA", at positions 165 to 839 of the family's 2925-position model. The record is from RNAcentral. Lineage: Eukaryota; Metazoa; Chordata; Actinopteri; Perciformes; Cottidae.
ACGCCCAACAGCUAGCCCACCUAAACAAUUUCAACAAACCCCUGUUAAUACCCCCUAAAUACCCUAGUAUUUAAAUUAAACAAACCAUUUUUCCCCCUUAGUAUAGGCGAUAGAAAGGGGCCCACGGCGCAAUAGAGAAAGUACCGCAAGGGAACGCUGAAAGAGAAGUGAAAUAACCCAGUAAAGCCUGAAAAAGCAGAGAUUUAAACUCGUACCUUUUGCAUCAUGAUUUAGCGAGUGUACCUCAAGCAAAGAGCACUUUAGUUUGACGUCCCGAAACUACGUGAGCUACUCCAAGACAGCCUAUUAAUAGGGCGCACCCGUCUCUGUGGCAAAAGAGUGGGGAGAGCUUUGAGUAGAGGUGACAAACCUACCGAACC